UCCCAGGUGGCUCAGAGGUUAAAGCGUCUGCCUGCAAUGCGGGAGACCCGGGUUUGAUCCCUGGGUUGGGAA
This 72-nucleotide transfer RNA is filed under the name Capra hircus (goat). It matches the Rfam family "tRNA". Rfam says of the family: Transfer RNA (tRNA) molecules are approximately 80 nucleotides in length. Their secondary structure includes four short double-helical elements and three loops (D, anti-codon, and T loops). RNAcentral also lists the same sequence under 1 other name. Lineage: Eukaryota; Metazoa; Chordata; Mammalia; Artiodactyla; Bovidae. The record is from Rfam by way of RNAcentral.